RNAcentral lists this long non-coding RNA (314 nucleotides) under Cyclopterus lumpus (lumpfish). RNAcentral's name for it is "lncRNA (ENSCLMG00005012880.1)". Lineage: Eukaryota; Metazoa; Chordata; Actinopteri; Perciformes; Cyclopteridae. The record is from RNAcentral.
CUGCUCUACUCCACCAAAACAUGGAGCGGUUUGCUUCCACAGUGAAAUGUCUCACAGAUGAUCUGCUGCACAAACAGCCUGCAGAUUAUGAUGAGGUGAUAGAGAAACUCUUCUCUGAGGUCUCUGGUCUGGAGGAUUUCCCCAAAAUACCAGAUCCACAGCUUGAGGAGUGUGCCAUCCAGCUGUGGAACUGGGCAGUUACUAAGAAUGUGGGCAGCACUAUAAAUACAAAUCAGAAAGCAAAAGUGCGUCAUGUCGCAUGCAGUCUGCUGUGCUGCUGUGUGCCUGAGAAUCCAACAGAGGGCAUCAUCCGU